Molecule: ribosomal RNA, 397 nt
Filed under: uncultured bacterium
Lineage: Bacteria
Description: partial 16S ribosomal RNA
Rfam family: Bacterial small subunit ribosomal RNA
Source: RNAcentral
AUACGUAGGGGGCGAGCGUUGUCCGGAAUGACUGGGCGUAAAGGGCGCGUAGGCGGCCCGGUAAGUCUGGAGUGAAAGUCCUGUUUUUAAGAUGGGAAUUGCUUUGGAUACUGUCGGGCUUGAGUGCAGGAGAGGUAAGUGGAAUUCCCAGUGUAGCGGUGAAAUGCGUAGAGAUUGGGAGGAACACCAGUGGCGAAGGCGACUUACUGGACUGUAACUGACGCUGAGGCGCGAAAGUGUGGGGAGCAAACAGGAUUAGAUACCCUGGUAGUCCACACUGUAAACGAUGAAUGCUAGGUGUAGGGGGUAUCGACCCCUUCUGUGCCGCAGUCAACACAAUAAGCAUUCCGCCUGGGGAGUACGGCCGCAAGGUUGAAACUCAAAUGAAUUGACGGGG